AUUGAACGCUGGCGGCAGGCCUUACACAUGCAAGUCGAACGGUAACAGGGUGCUUGCACCGCUGACGAGUGGCGAACGGGUGAGUAAUGCGUCGGAACGUGCCGAGUAGUGGGGGAUAACGCAGCGAAAGUUGUGCUAAUACCGCAUACGUACUGAGGUAGAAAGUGGGGGUCCUUCGGGCCUCACGCUAUUCGAGCGGCCGACGUCUGAUUAGCUAGUAGGUGAGGUAAAGGCUCACCUAGGCGACGAUCAGUAGCGGGUCUGAGAGGAUGAUCCGCCACACUGGGACUGAGACACGGCCCAGACUCCUACGGGAGGCAGCAGUGGGGAAUUUUGGACAAUGGGCGAAAGCCUGAUCCAGCCAUGCUGCGUGUCUGAAGAAGGCCUUCGGGUUGUAAGGGACUUUUGUCAGGGAGGAAAUCCCUAGUGCUAAUAACACUGGGGGAUGACAGUACCUGAAGAAUAAGCACCGGCUAACUACGUGCCAGCAGCCGCCGUAA
RNAcentral lists this ribosomal RNA (500 nucleotides) under uncultured bacterium. RNAcentral's name for it is "partial 16S ribosomal RNA". It matches the Rfam family "Bacterial small subunit ribosomal RNA", at positions 30 to 523 of the family's 1533-position model. The record is from RNAcentral.